Long non-coding RNA from Hemicordylus capensis (graceful crag lizard), 771 nucleotides. RefSeq lists it as uncharacterized. NCBI's taxonomy places the organism in Eukaryota, Metazoa, Chordata, Lepidosauria, Squamata, Cordylidae. The transcript is spliced from 5 exons. The record is from RefSeq and is a predicted model, not a curated record.
ACGCUGGGGAAGCGAGUCCGCCUCCCUCAGGCGCCGAGAACUACAACUCCCAUCAGGUGCCGGGCCAGGCAGUCGUCGCCACAGCGUGAAAAAAAAAACCGUCAACUGAGGAGACGGAGAGAGGGGGAAAAGUCAAGGUCCGCGCCUUCUUAACGUAGCGUCACCUAGAGGCCACAAGUGGAAUUACGGGCGCAAUUACGCAUUCAAAGCCGCUCCUCCGCUCACACUAUGACGUUUAUUCCGGUUUUCUAACGGCUCAGUUCAGGGAGAGACGCACGCUGGGCGUUGUUGUAGUGGGCCGGUGUACAAAACACCCUUAAGUUGAAGAGUUGCCAGAUGUUUGAACUGAAAUUUCCGUUAUCCUCUUCAUUUCGUUCCCAUGGAGAGAAGCAUCCCAUACUCCCGGUCAUUGAGAUGCGGACACUCAUAAGGCACAGGGAUUGCGAUCGGCACACACCAAGAACAUUAAUGACAAGAGCUGGAUGCAGAACUCGGAAACUCUGGGUUCUUUUUUCAAAACCAAAUGCUGUACUGAGAGGCAUCUGAGAAACCACUGCUACAAGAAAGGAACAGGCAACAGCAUGGAGGAAAAGAAAACAGCUAAUUAAUAACCCCAGAGAAAUUUCUUGCAAGGCUCCAGUUUUACUGUUGAAUCCAUUUCCCAUUUUCAAAAGUGGAGGAUCUCCAAUCCUUGGAUUCUAUGUAACUCUCAAGACACUUUUACUAUGUUUGUUAGACUCAAAUAUCUAUUACACUCAAAAGGAACCUGCA